UCAUCCCUAUGUAACAGAUAGGGUUGUCUUUACAUUUAGACUUACAAUAUCCCCCUAUUUGUUUGUUAAUCAUAACAAGCAAAUCCUCUGGAGGAUAACUCAACUAACACUAGAAAAAGUAAAGUCCUGGACUAGUAAAUAAUGCUACAAAGUUUCUGGAUCAUAUAAUACAUUUCCAGAUUUCAUGAAUAGAAAUAACAGAUGUGCAUAUCACCUUUAUUUCUCUGGUUCUUGCUUACCUGCCAGAUAAUCCUCAUAGUCUGUCUUGAAGAGAAUUCAAAACAUUCCAUUAUGCAAAGAACAAUCAGCAGCUUCAUUGAAUUCUUCAGUGGUAAUGAAUGAGUUCAUGUCUACCACUUACUGAAGAAUAAAUGUAUCACCUUAUACUUCUCCUCCCGUUACCUUGAUCAGGUUCCCCUUAGUGAUAAGUAGUUGUCUCCCCUUAGAUGAAAGAUCAAUCCUCCUCCUUAGUUGAAAGAAGAAUCUCCCCCUCAGUAGUACACAGCUAAAGAGUAGUUUAAUCCCCCUUAGUUGUAGACAACAGAAGAAAGCUAACUUACUUUUUCUUCCCCCUUUCAUAAAUUCUCCCCCUAAAUAUAUUCUCCCCCUUAGUUGUGGAAUCCUCCGAGGAUAUGUGGUAUCAAAUAUGGUCAAGGAACGUGUACAAUACUUCCUGUACCAAAAGAUAAUCUCCCCAUAGAGAACUAAACAACGCUAAAGCUGGGGUCGAAGAAAGAGUUCAGAAGAAGGGUUUACUUUGAUUGGGUUGGUCCCUAUGCUGAAAGAAUAGGUUCCAAACGGAAAAGUAAUGAGUAAAAACUGACAUUCCAGUAACAACAUCCACUUUGUCUUUAGGUAUAAAUUUGGUAAUUAGUGGGUGUCUCACUAAAAUGUUCUGCAGGUGUAUCACUCAACACUCAAUUUUCUCUCGGUUUUUGGGUAAGGGUGUCACUCACGAGUUCUGUAAGUGUAUCCCUCCACACAAAUACUGAGCUUCCAAAAUGCUGAGUACCUGCAAGAAAAUCACCUUAGCCACCCUUAAAGGGGGUCACCGGUGGUGCAAUGGGAGUUCGUAAUUCCCAGUCCCUGUAGACUCAUCAGAUAAAUCCAAAUCAUAGUCCACAAGUUGCCAACCACUAAGUGGCUUAUCCAAUUAAGGAUCCAGAAAUGUUUGCUCUGGGAGGUUAGACAAAGGCUUAAUUAUGGCAAAGGCCUAAGUCCUCCUCAAUGUCUGUGAAGACACUUGAUUCAAGAGAAUCAUCAACCAUAAGUUCACAACGUGAAAUGGAAUGUACCGUAGUUGCUUCCAUCAAUUCUUUCGACAACUUGUGAGCUUUCAAUACCAAUUAUUAUUAUAUGUACCUCACAAGUGUUUCACUUUUCUCAAUUUCCUAUGUGUUUGCACUCACUCAUGCUCACAUAUUUCUCAUUCAGAUAUCUAACUGGUUCUUCUCAGAAUCUCACCAAGUGUUUAACUCUUAGUGUUUGGCUCACAGUGUUUCUCUCAGCACUCAAAGUAUGGUCUUCUGUACCUGCAUGAGAAAAUCACUAUAGCCCCUUCAAGAGAGGUCACUGGUGGUGCAAUGGGGUUUCGUAAAUCCCCGAUCCUCAACCGACUUAUCAAUAAAUUGACUCAUAGUCAGAGAGUUGCCGAUCUCCUAUAAAUAGGAAAUCCAUUCCGAUUGGAUCCAGAUCUGUUCUUAUCUGGGGAGGGAGACGAGAAUCCUGAAGAUUUGGCAAUUGAGAUCCUCGUUUCCUCCUUACACCUGUAAAGGCAUCAACCAUCUUAUCUACCGUAAAAUGGUAAAUGAAGAAGUUGCUUCUGGAACAAAACCUUUAACCUUACUGUGCACUCUCUUGUAUUGUGUCCAUAAGAUUUUUUGUUU
RNAcentral lists this long non-coding RNA (1886 nucleotides) under Daucus carota (carrot). RNAcentral describes it as "long non-coding RNA (DCAR_LNC006133)". Lineage: Eukaryota; Viridiplantae; Streptophyta; Magnoliopsida; Apiales; Apiaceae. The record is from RNAcentral.